Rosa chinensis is the source of this 320-nucleotide long non-coding RNA. RefSeq lists it as uncharacterized. NCBI's taxonomy places the organism in Eukaryota, Viridiplantae, Streptophyta, Magnoliopsida, Rosales, Rosaceae. The transcript is spliced from 3 exons. The record is from RefSeq and is a predicted model, not a curated record.
UUUGGAUUCGUAAACAACGCAAAGAGAGAAGCUAAUUUUCUGUGCCAGUAAUUGUCAUAGGCAAGACUGAAGAGCGAAAUGAGUGGAGCAUGCGUUAAACAGUAGUAGAACAAAUAUCUCUUUCAUGUACCAGAUCCAACAGCACGCGUUAAACAGGAGUACAUCCUGAGCUUUCCAACUUCUGUUAUCACAUACAAGGUUUCCAACUUCUGUUAUCACAUACAAGUAAUCUCUAAUCAUCAUCAACCGUUGCAGUCCCAAGAAUACAUAUAUGAGGAAAAUGGAAGGAAAUAUUGUAGCUGCUCCAACUGACAUAGAAA